AUCCUAGGCCAAGUCACCCCUCUCUCAUUGUCAUAACCUCUUAGCUGGUUUCUCUGCUUUCAUCCUUGCUUCUAUGAUCUAUUCUUCAUACAGCAGCCAGAGGAAUUCUUUUAAAAUGUGGUUUAUAUAACAUGAUUUCCCCUGCUAAAAAUCUUCCCUAUUAAUGGUCUGCCAUCUCAGGAUAAAAUCCAAAGUCCUUAAUAUGGCUCACAAGACCCUACACAAGCUUGCCUGUGGCCACUUUUCUUAUGUCAUCUCCCACUUUGGCCACUUUUCUGAUAUCAUCACUUACCACUCCCCUAAUUAUUCAUUUGGCUGUGGUCAUAAUGGCCUCCUUGGUGUUAAAAAAGUGUCAAGCAUAUGCCUACAGUUUUGUCUUUAGAAUGCCCUUCCUCUAGAUACCUGCAUGGCUUGUUCCCUCAUUUCAGUUUUCUGCUCAGCUGUCACAUUAUCAAAACAUCCAACACAUAAUUGUACCUAUAUUGCAUUUUUCACUAAUGGAUAUACCAUUUCUAAAGUUUGACUAUUGUCUGUCUGUCCCAUGCUUAAUCAAAGCAAGGGCUUUGUUUCAUAUACUGCUUUAUCUCUAGUGCCUAACAUCAUUACUUACACAUUGCUGGCAUUCAAUAUUUGUCAACAAUUUCUAAAAUAUAUAUGUUCCUUCAUUCAUAAAUCUCCUUAGAUGCUUCUCAUAAAACACAAAGUUUGAGAAUAGAGCUAAUAAUCUUUCAAUGGUUUACCCUUGUAUUUAGAAUAAAAUCCAAACUCCUAUUCAUGGCCUACAAGCCCCUUUACGAUCCAGUUCUUUCUUAAAUUUCUCCAAUUUCUUCAACGUACCUUUUAAGCCUCAAAUUGAGCCACUACUAUCUUCAGAACAAUGCUCUAAUCUUAUUGGCCUGAUUUAAGUUCCAAGAACAUGUCAAAUUCUUUCCCAUUUUAGAUUUUCCAUAUGCUGUUCCAUCUGCCAAGAAUGCUCUCAAAGUGGCCACCUCCUUUGCGUGUGAAAUGUCCUAGCUUAAAUGUCAGCUGCUCAGAAAGACUAUCCUGGAUCACUUUAAUUAGGUCCAUGCCAGGUAUUUUCUAUACCUGUAAUUUAUUCCUAAUUCUUGUUUGAAUUUUUGCAAUUCUAAAAUUUCAUUUAUUUAUCUGUUGAUCUUUCUGCUCCUCAAGCUCUACAUGUGUAGGGGGAAAAUGCCUGUUUUAUUAUAUAGCUAGUCCCCAGAACACAGUAUACAUAUAAUGUUUUAUUCCUUUAAUAUAGUUUUUCAUGUCUUACUUUCCAAUAUUUAUUACUUAAGGCCAAAUGUUCUUAUAUUUCCCAAAGAAGUACCUCAAAAUCUCCUAGAAAUAGUGACAAGUUUACACAAUAAAGAUCUUAUAUUAUUCCGAAGAAAGAAGUUGAGAAACAAGUGUACUUUUCAAAUGCAGAGAAACCUAUCUGAUGUAACUGGAUCAGCAGGCACAGGGUCUCUGACCACUGUAUAUAGGCUGUAGAAUAACAAAGACUGGUCAUGGGAAGAAAAAUAAAUACACAUCAGUAAGCUCAAAUUUAAACAGUCUUUUAGAAAUAAGCCUCCAAAACUUGAGAAAACACACUUUUGCUGAAAAGCAAAAAGAAAUGAUAAAAACAAAAGCAACUACCCCCCCCCACUUGCCAUAUACACACCACAGCUCAGUUUAACACCAAUUCAUGUCAGCAACACAUCCUAGAACAAGAUAGACCCUGCUUUUGUUUCUUUCAUAGAAGAACAAUAUGGUUUAUAAAACACUGAAAGAAAUCAAUGGGCUUAUGGUGAUUAAGGGAACACUAUAAGGAAUCAAAUAAAUUCAGUUGGGACCCAAAAUAGCUACCUAUGUGCUAGUGCCCUAAUAAAAAUGGGAAGAAAUAUUAAUCUAAUAUGAUUCUGGGGUAGGAGGCACUAUGAGAACACAGGAUGGUGCUAAACAGAAAUCUAGAGGAAUAUAGAAAAAGUUAAGAUUAGAAUACCAAAGUCUCAGAACUGUGCCCAGAAUGAGGAGUACAUAUAAAAAUGUAUUCAAUUAAGUAGCAGCUCUUUUUAUUGUCAUUAAAUUAAUGAAAAAACUAUAUGGUGAAAAAAGGGAAAACUGCAAAAGGGGUGAUGAGUGAAGACAACAAAAUGGAGUCUGAAAAGGAGGAGUCAUUUUAGGAGGUUUCUUUUAUUCUUGCCCCCAUCAAGUCCUACUGAAUAUAUCUCCUAAGUAGCUCUCGAAUCUGUUACCUUAUCACCAACACCACUGCUGACACUCGGGAAGCCCAAGGCAUCUUUUUUUUUUUUGAGAUGGAGUCUCGCUCUGUCAUCCAGGCUGGAGUGCAGUCGUGCCAUCUCAGCUCACUGCAACCUCCGCCUCCAGGUUCAAGCAAUUCUGCCUCAGCCUCCUGAGUAGCUGGGCUUACAGGUGUGCACCACCAUGCCUGGCUCAUUUUUGUAUUUUUAGUAGAGAUAGGCCUUCACCAUAUUGGUCAGGCUGGUCUCAAAUUCCUGGCCUCAAGUGAUCCACCUGCCCCGGACUCCCACAGCACUAGGAUUACAGGCAUGAGUCACUGCGCCUGGCCCCAAAGCAUCCGGAACCACAACAAAAACCUACUCAGUAAUGUUAUGAGACCCUUUGUUCUAAUCUCCAUCUGGCAGAUAGAAUGGAAUAGUAAAUAUGAAAAUCACAUUAUGUCACCAUCUUAAGAUUUUUCAAUAGCCUGCAAAAAUUGGAGGGAUAAAAUCUAAACUCUUCUGCAGUAUUUUUCAAACUUCUUUUGACUAAAAUUUCAUAGUAAGAAAUACAUAUUAUGACUGAGUACACACACUCAAACAUAAAACAAGGAUGUCAUAAAAUUAUCUUUGCUAUAUGUAUUAUAUAUUCAUAUUUUGUUAUUUUAUCUCCUGUUUUAUUAAAAACAACAAGUGCUGCUUAUAACCUACUAGGUUGUAUUCAUAACCUCUAGCAGGUUCUGCCCGGCCUGGCUCCAGUCAACCUCUCCGACUCCCUUGUGGCACCUCUGCCUCACUAGGCUCCAGCUGCAAAAGCCUUCUCUCAAUACCUCAUACAAACCAAGCUCCAUCCUCCUAUGGCCUGCAGUACACUGUUACUUCUGCUAGGAAUGCUCUUCCCUCUUCUCUCUAUCCUCAGUCUCCUUACCUGUUUUUCAUUCUUUCAGGGCUCACCUGAAACUUCAUGUACCAUUGCACUUCCUGAGAAGCUGUCCCCAAUCCCAGGCUCCUAGCAAUGCUGUUCCAGUAAUCUCUCUUCUGUAAGACAGCCACUCCACCCACUGCAGUCUACAAGGAAAGCCUCCAUAGCUGUGAUUAUUCAGUAAGAACAGUCUCAGGAAAACAGGACCUUCAACAGAGAUAAGAGAAUUAAAAUAUGCAGACUAACAACUCUGGGAAUGGGCUGACCAGCCUGAUAAGAAUAGGCUGAUGGCACCUACAGAAGGCCACAAAACACUGACCAAGAAAGCAAUGACCAACAAAGCAAUGACCUGAGACUGCACAUUUCACAAGAAUGUUUUGAUCAUCAUUUUUUCUAAUUUCCCUUAAAAACCCCUGAUAUGGAGACAGAACUCGGCGGUCUUUGAACACUAGUUCACUGCCUCCCCUGGGUUGUUGGAUUCCUGAAUAGAGCUAACCAUCCUUUCACCAAUGCUCAUCUCUUAAACUUUCAAGUGACAAGUGGUCUGGACCUGAAUUUCGUUACAAAACCUAUGUAUACCUUACCUUACAUGGCAAAGGGGACUUUAGAAGUGCAAUUAAAUUAAGGAUCUUGAGAGGGGGUUAUCCUGGAUUAUCUGGUUGGGCCCAAUGUAUUUGUAAGUGAUAGAGGGAGGCAGGUGAGUAAAAAAAGGAAACGUGAUGAUGAAAGCACAAGUCAAAAUGUGAUUGCUGGCUUUGAAAAUGGAUGGAAGCCACACCCCAGGGAUCGUGGACAGCCUUUAGAACCAGAAAAGGACAAGGAAACAGAUUCUCCAGUCCUCUAGAACCUCCAGAAGGAACAUGGCUCUGCUAAUACUAUGAUAUUAGCCCUUUCAGACUGAUUUCAGACUUCUGACCAGCAGAGGUAUAAAUCAUAAUUAUAUUGAUUUAAGCCACUAAAUUAGUGGUUAUUAGUAACGGCAGCAACAGGAAACUAUAUCAGCAACAAGACUCCUUCCUUCAUAGAACCCAAUUCCCAACCAAUUUUCAAACUUUCACAGAAAAUCUUGCCACACACUGAGACUAGGAACAUCCAACAAAAAAAUGCUAUCACUUUCAAAUGGAAAACCCAGGAUUGUAGAGAAGAUCAAAUUUUGUCAUGUAUCACAUUUAAACACUCAUCUCUACCUCACCAAACCGUGGUACUAAUGUGUACCAAUCUUAAAAGGAGGUAUUUCUGUUCCCUCAGAGCUCUGGGCAGAAGACUAUGCCUGUGGACAAUGUAGAAUUAUCUGCUGAAUGAAUAUCUGAAAACUGUUUGGAGAGGGGAAAAGCAUUGAGAAGAAUUGGGCUCUUUGCUACUAUUACUCGCUAGAAUGGGAGACGUUUGGAAGCAGUUCCCUUAAGGAACCAAACAAGGCAGGAAAUUCUGGGAUAAAUCUGGUGUUCACAUUACACAACAAAAUGAUUGUACUUCAAGAAGGAAAGAAACAGCAACUCACGUGGGGCAUGGUUUUUUAGAACUGAUCAAUUUUCUGGGUUCUUCUCCUGGAGGUGUGCAAAGUCCAGAGAAGCCAGUGCUGGACAAGGAAAAGAAGCCACAAGAUUAGACUUGGCUCACAGCCCACAAAAUAAACUACUUAGAACUACCUUUACUUCUCCUCUUUUGGGAAUUUGGAAAAAAUCUCAGUUCUUCCACAAACCCAAUGGAAGCCAGCUACUGCAGAAGGGGUUCAGGCAGACCUUUCCUUAAUGUCCAUGUUGAACAGGACCCUAGGUGCUGUUACUUUCCCAUGGCAUCUCCUCUUCCACAGUAGAACAGAGGCAUGCCCAGGGAGCCCCCCACCAUCCUCCUGGACCCAAACACUAAGUCAGGUACUUUGCUCCCAAUCUUAGGAAGGGGCUUCAGAGACCAAAAUGUGGCCUUCUUUCAGACGUCAUGAACAUCAGCUAGACUCACAGACAUUUUGACAGACAUAUCAGGGUCAACAGAUCCAAAACAGUCUCAUCCCACUCCCCUGAAUCUAGUUCUUUCUUGCCUGUUUACUCUUCCCUAUAAAAGAAAAUUCCUUUAUGCCUGACCUUUGCUAUGCUUGCAGAUCUUAUGGCUGGAGUAUUCUCCCAAUUACAACACCUCCUCCCUUACUGCAG
Molecule: long non-coding RNA, 5297 nt
Organism: Homo sapiens (human)
Lineage: Eukaryota; Metazoa; Chordata; Mammalia; Primates; Hominidae
Gene: ZNF571-AS1
Product: ZNF571 antisense RNA 1
Source: Ensembl